UACGGAGGGUGCAAACGUUGCUCGGAAUCAUUGGGCGUAAAGCGCACGUAGGCGGUCCAGCAAGUCGGGUGUGAAAGCCCUCGGCUUAACCGAGGAAGUGCAUUCGAAACUACUGGACUUGAAUACUGAAGAGGAUCGCGGAAUUCCCGGUGUAGAGGUGAAAUUCGUAGAUAUCGGGAGGAACACCAGUGGCGAAGGCGGCUAUCUGGGCUGAAGCUGACGCUGAGGCGCGAAGGCUAGGGGAGCAAACAGG
RNAcentral lists this ribosomal RNA (253 nucleotides) under uncultured bacterium. RNAcentral describes it as "partial 16S ribosomal RNA". It matches the Rfam family "Bacterial small subunit ribosomal RNA", at positions 524 to 776 of the family's 1533-position model. The record is from RNAcentral.